CUUGCUGGUAGCUUGCUGUUAUAAAAGGCAUGUUGCAUACGGAAUUGCACAUUGACUGACAGCAUCUGGCCCACCAGGAAGGAAGCUGAGUUUUCUACCACCGCUGCCUUCACGCCCCGAGAGAACGAGCUUAACCCUUUCGGUCUUGCUCAAAAGAAGAGGCAAUCCAUCGCCGUGAUCAUCAAUAUUCCUUCUGUCCUGUGCAAAAAGUCGUAGGGCUCGUACUAUAGUAGCUAUUGCCCAGCUUCUUUUCACGUCUCGCUUUUGCCUCUCCGAUCGAUCACAGCUUACCCCAGAACCCAUGUCAAAUUAAGCCGUAAAUAUAAGUAUUUGGACGUACCCUUGUCAAGGUUUAAAUUUCGGCACCCAGCAAAAGCUCCGAAAAUUACAAAACUUUUGAGAAUUUCGGAAAUUAUAUCUGAUUUCGGUUCUUGAAAAUUCCUGGACGUACACCCAAAUCGUGCUCCAUCGGUUGCAAAAUAUAAAUUUGUUGAGCACUUGUCUUUUGACUCUCAAUUUGCUCGCUUUGUAUGAUCCAUCAUCCAGGUCGCUUACAACCUUUGCACGCCGCGAAGUGUGCCAAAUAUUUUUUUUAUUUUUUUUUUGACAAUCGUGGACAUUAUUGAGAUAUUUUGGCAAUGCUUAAAUCGUGGUCAAACCGGCCAACAAUUUAACCGAAAGGCUAAAAUUAAUCAACGGCCCGUAAUGGACAGAGAAAUUUGACCGGAAUCUGAAAACCCUGCACUCCAUUGAUCCCAGCCAUGUGAAAGGACCAUGGAACUUAUCGCCACGUACGUUCGUUCGUGCCGAGCUUAGGCAAAACAUCACCAGAGAGAAAGAGACCAAUAGUACGUAGUACUACGUGACACAGAGAGAGCAGCUAGAGGCGCAUGCGUCGAGUCCGAUCAAUGGAUCGAUGGAGCGACCUCCCGUCUCGGGCAGGAUGCUCGAGACUCGCACACUAUCGUCCUGUACUCCUGUUGCGCAUCGCCAUGCAUGGCGAUGGAGACAUCGAUGGACGGUGUACUAUACGUACGUACAUGUGCCAAGGCA
Molecule: long non-coding RNA, 1053 nt
Filed under: Brachypodium distachyon (stiff brome)
Lineage: Eukaryota; Viridiplantae; Streptophyta; Magnoliopsida; Poales; Poaceae
Description: long non-coding RNA (BDIS_LNC006036)
Source: RNAcentral